This 503-nucleotide ribosomal RNA is filed under the name uncultured bacterium. RNAcentral describes it as "bacterial SSU rRNA". It matches the Rfam family "Bacterial small subunit ribosomal RNA", at positions 8 to 507 of the family's 1533-position model. The record is from RNAcentral.
AGAGUUUGAUCAUGGCUCAGAUUGAACGCUGGCGGCAUGCUUUACACAUGCAAGUCGAGCGGCAGCGCGGGGGCAACCCUGGCGGCGAGCGGCGAACGGGUGAGUAAUGCAUCGGAACGUACCCUGGAGUGGGGGAUAACGCCGCGAAAGCGGCGCUAAUACCGCAUAUGCUCUGAGGAGGAAAGUGGGGACCGCAAGGCCUCACGCUCUGGGAGCGGCCGAUGUCCGAUUAGCUAGUUGGUGGGGUAAAGGCUUACCAAGGCGACGAUCGGUAGCUGGUCUGAGAGGAUGAUCAGCCACACUGGGACUGAGACGCGGCCCAGACUCCUACGGGAGGCAGCAGUGGGGAAUUUUGGACAAUGGGGGCAACCCUGAUCCAACCAUGCCGCGUGAGUGAAGAAGGCCUUCGGGUUGUAAAGCUCUUUUGGUCGGGAAGAAAGCGCCUUGCCUAAUACGCGAGGUGGUUGACGGUACCGGCAGAAUAAGCACCGGCUAACUACGUG